This 5294-nucleotide long non-coding RNA is filed under the name Sus scrofa (pig). Its description in RNAcentral is "lncRNA (ENSSSCG00015022720.1)". Lineage: Eukaryota; Metazoa; Chordata; Mammalia; Artiodactyla; Suidae. The record is from RNAcentral.
AUCUAGCACAAGCUUGAAGAAUCCAGGCUGUGGGAAGGACACUGAGAAAAUCAAAGUGAGACCUGUCGAAACCAAUGGAAGGUCAACCCAAGAAUGGCAUGCAGAAGACUGGGCCUCACCUGCCAGCAGAAACAGAACGAGGCCCCAGGCUCCCUUUCAGCUCAGACCCUACAUCCUCCCAUGGAGAAGGUCUCCUUGAAAUGCCAAGCUAGAAGAAGUGGCCAUGGCCAACCCUCUCUCCCCAUCCCCGACCCUUUAACCUCUUUCUGGACCUGGCUUAGCAGCAGGAAGCCACAGCUGCAUUGAGUGGUGCCUUGGUGUAACGGCCUGGACUUUCAGCUUUUAUCUCCCCUUCUGGCUGAUGCUCCUGCCUGCAGUAUCAGGGUCAGGGGCUGGUUAAGGAACUGCCUAGACAAAGGGAUGGGCCCUCCAGUCUUCUUUGGUUUUUCCGGUUGCCAGCACUUGCCAUUAGGAUGUUGAUGAGUCCUGGCUGCGUCUCGUGAUUGGUCUUUUUUUUUGUGUGUGUGAUUGCAUUUUUUUUCUCAUCUAGAGAUAAGGAAUAAUCCAAAAGAUUGAGGAAUAGUUCAUAACCAUAAGUCAUUUUGAUGCACAGAUAUUUCGCCUUUGCCGUAUUUCACUUUCUGCUGCAGUGAGAAGGAAUGAAAAUCAUAAACCUAGGGGUGUUUCUUGUACAUCAGAAUCCAGCGUGGUUGUAGCGGGUUGGGUGGCUGUCUCGGGCAGCUCUCCUGUAAGUGACGGUUCUGGGACCCAGGCUCAGAAACUGCACUCCAUGGAUGUUUAUGUAAGCACCACUGCUCUGUGGACUCUUCCUACUCUUCCUGCUCCUAUUUCUAUUCCAAGGUAUCUCGGUCUCUUCCUGAGCAUGAAAGGGAGAUUGUGGAUGAAAUGGAACAAAAGUUUGGUUUUAGUGUUUCAAUCACAGAGUGAUUCCACCAUCUGUGCUCGGGCUUUUGCAACGUCUUUCCACAUUGUUGGGAGCCACUGGCAUCUUGGCUGGUAAGCGAUCGCACCAGCAAAUGCCAGCAUGCGGGUGAAAUCUUUUUCCUUCUCUUGGAAGCUCUUUCUCUGAACAUUAUCGAGAGGGAAGUGCAGGAUUGUUCAGUCAGGCAUGACUAGACUGGGGGGCGGGGGCGAGUCCAUUUUAUAAAUAUAACAAAACGUUCUUUCCGUCGUAUUUGUCAGAUUCCCCCACAUCUUCAGCUCCUUUCCUCUCCUCUUCCAGCAAUAAACAAUGACUAAGUGCACAGUGUUCACGUGUUUCAAUCCAUUUUUGACAAACCUCCUCCCUCGUGCCUUUCACUUUUUAAAUCAAUUACCCUGUCCACAAUGCCUCCCUCACCUCUGUCAUUCAAUUACCAUCUUUCUAUGGCUGUUCUUUUCAACAACAUAAUUUGCCUUUAAUAAUUGAUAUAAAAGAAUUCAAAAUGUAAUCACUGAGCUCACUUAAAAGCUCUCUAAUCAAUUACCAGAAUCUGUGGGUUUGCGACAGAGGUCUCCCUGAGGACUUCAGAAUCCCCUUUUACCAAGCAUCAUUCCGAUAGAAACCAAAUGUAUAAUACAUUCUCUUGUAGCCGGCCAGGCCCAUGAAGACAAAGAACAGGUUUCAAAUGAGCGAUGGUCUGCACAAUGGCUUUAAGGUCCUUUCAGAGAGAAAAUAAUGCCAACAUUUAUCACGUGGAAAUUAAAAUGGAAAUUCUGCUUAAGCCAAGUCUAGAUUUAAGCAUGAGGGGAGCUGACAGGUGCCAGUUUCCAGUCUAGUUACAGGGUCUGCUUUUAACCUUAGCCUGAUUUUCUGAGUUAGAGUGUCUCAGAGUGGCAUGGGGGUGUUUAUUAACAAGGAUCUCAGUUCUGCUGUCAGUGAGAAAUGAGGUCCGAGUUGCUUGUGUAUGGUUGGUCAUUAUAUCUGCUCAUUCAGGGUGGGGAACGGGGACGAGGGCAGAACCGAGCAUCAGGUAGGUCUGAAUUCAGACCCGGAGUCUAAAUUUGUUCCUGAUUUUGAGCAAGUUACUUCUCUUGGAAUGCUUAUUUAUGAUUUCCACAAUUGUAAAUGUAGGAUAAUACUUACCUUAUACAUUUAUUUCUCUUCAUUGCAUUUAUGCCCUUUUAGCAUUCUGUGUUAGCUUAUGAAUUUCAAAUCUUUGUUUCUGAGAGUCAGUGUUCAGCCCAGUUUAAUUUGCUAUUUAUGUUGAUGAUUCUUUAUUGUUGAUUGUACCUUAUUCUCACUCUCGGAGAGGGCAGGUGCACCUUUGAUUCCUACACUGAUGCAUAUUGUAGUUGCUCAGUGACUAUUGGUUGGCUGGGUGAAUGCAUCAGUGACCGUCUCUAGUACCCACACAUUGUACAGCAUCCUUUGAAUUGGGCUGUGCGGUUUUCUUUCCAGGUGAUUUAUCUUCUGAAUUAUGUUUGGUGUGAGUGCUCAUUAAGUCCAGUCUUGCAUCAGCCUGACUGAUGAGUGAACUGGGGUCUAAAUUCAUGGUCAGGGGAAGCCAGCCUGGGAUUAAUCCCUGGCCUCCGUUACUCCUCAGAAGAGACAAAACCUGUGUGGAGAUACUGCCAGGUUGUUGUUGUGUGCAGAAUCUAAUUUAUAGCUGUCCAGGGUCUCCUGAGAAGAACGUGCGUUUAUAUCAUUACUAAACAGUAAUUGAUUGCAAAGCUCGGUUGUGAAAUUUACAGUUAUUGAAUGACUCUAUGUUAGCGCAUAAAUUUCAAAUCUUUAUUUCUAAAAGUCAAUUGAUAUUCAGCCCAAUAAAUAUUUAAUUUAGAUCUAAUAAUGGCAUUAGAGCAAAAUUAAAUUCUCAUUUAGAAACUACAGAAUGACCUGGAUGGGCUUGGGAGUGGUGACUUGGCAGAGAUGAGCAGAGAAACUGUUGGUCUGAUUCUUCCUCCCUUCGCUUUAAUUAGAAGAGACUUCUUGUACAUGGAUUUCUCCUAUUUCAUUGUCUUUGUGAAAAAGUCUCUUUAUGUAGGAAAUGAAAGUCCUUUAUUUGUAGAGCUUUAUGGUUCAUUCAUUCUUUUUUUAUUUUUUUAGGGCCGCACCUGUGGCAGGUUCCCAGGCUAGGGGUUGAAUCAGAGCUACAGCUGCUGGCAGCUGCAGCUCUGAUUCGACCCCUAGCCUGGGAACCUCCAUAUGCCGCGGGUGUGGCCCUAAAAAGACAAAAGACAAAAAAAAAAUCUAGAUCUGAAAGAUGCAGGAGUUCCCGUCGUGGCUCAGUGGUUAACGAAUCUGACUAGCAUUCAUGAGGAUGGAUGCUUCUGGACAUGUGAAGAGCCACUGCUUCAGCCUUUUAAAGACUGGUAUAAACCUAGGUAUAUGUUACCGCCUUAUUAUUGAGGAUUGUACAUAGGAUUCUUCCAUGAAUUUUGAGGGUGGAAUUGGUGCUUUAAAAAUUUUCAUUUAUGGGAGUUCCUGCUAUGGCCCAGUGGGUUAAGAACCUGACUGCAGCAGCUCGGGUUGCUGUGGAGGCACAGGUUUGAUCCCCUGCCUGGUGCGGUAGGUUAAAGGAUCUGGGAUUGCUGCAGCCGUGGGUCAGAUUCAGUUCCUUUUAAGAAACAUAUUUAUUUGAUGGUAAAAGUCCAAUAUGUAUAUUGAAUAAAGUUUUGGCAAAACCUAAAAAGUUCACAGACUAAAAUAAAAUUACCUGCUAUCCCCAAAUCACGGAGAGCCAAAUGAUCAUAAACCAUUAGUAUUUCUUUCCAGAGCUUUCUGUAUGCAUAAUAUACAUGCUAAAACGAUGGGGCAUGCUUUAGCUACUGUGUUGCUUUCUGGUUUUUUUCCCCACAUAAUAUUAUUGUGAACAUUUUCCAAUAUCAUUACAUACACUUGUGAACAUUAUUUUCCAUAGCUACAUCAUAAUUUGUUCAAGUUUCCAUCUAAUAUGGGACAUUUAGAGUAUUUGCAGUUUGGUAGAAUUGUAAAAAGAGCUUUAAUGAACAUCUUGUAAAUUUGAGUUUGUCACUGAUAGUUUUCUUAGAAUAAAAGUGGCAUUUUCAGAUCAUUCUUUAUAAUGGUUUUAAAACUCAGGGUGCAUAAUAGUUAAUACCCGCUGAUGCUGGAAAAAUCACUGAACUGAAAUGAACCCAGACCUUGGUUGACCUGUCUUUACUGCAUACUAGCUGUGUCAUCUCGGGUGGGUCUCUAAGCUCAGCAAGCCUUAGUGUUUUUAUCUGCAGAAUGGGAAUGUAAUUUUCCAUCUCAUCAACCUAUAAGGAGGAUUCAGGGAGUAGCUAAGGGUCCAGCUAGGUGUUGCUUAAAUCAGACUCUGCCAAAGAAUGACCUAAAUUUUAUACAUUUUCUUUGGGUUCUUGUCAACAUUGACCAGUCUUCUAGAAGUUUAGCCAAAUCUCUUCUCAUUCUUUUCAAUCAGGGGUCAAAAAUACGAUGCAUGGACCAAAGUCAUCUCACCCACUGUUUUUGCGAAUGAAGAUUUGUUGGGACACAACCACUCUCACAUGUGUGUGUGUGAAUUUAUAUAAAUUAUAUAAUUUAUAUGAAUAUAUACAGUCUGUGACUCCUUUUAUGGUAUAGAGGCAGAGCAGAAAAUAUUACAAAAAAGCUUUUCUGAACAACUCCAGAGUAUCUGUUUCUGAAGUCUUGGUAGCUAUGUGCAUUGUACGUCUAAAAUCAGAAUAUUUCUGUGGUAGGGGUAGGUAUUAGCUGUGCAUGGCUGAGCUGACUGUUGCAUGUGGAUGCUCCAUAGAUAAAAAAGGGACCAGAAAUGCAGGCCUCUAACUUCGAUUGACAUACAGGUCUUUUUAGGGACUUCUCUGGGAAAAAGCCAGGUUGACCUCAAAGGAGAAUGAGAUGCUUUUAAUUUUUAAAAUUUUUUAUUUUUUGCUCUUUAGGGCUGACGCCUGUGGCAUAUGGAAGUUCCUAGGGUAGGGGGUGAAUCGGAGCUUCAGCUGCUGGCCUAUACCACAGCCACAGCAAAGCUGGACCUGUGCAUCUGCACCCUACACCCCGGCUCACAGCAAUGCCAGAUCCUUAACCCACUGAGAGAGGCCAGGGAUCAAACCUGUAGCCUCAUGGAUGCUAGUUGGGUUCUUAACCAGGUGAGCCAUGACAGGAAUUCCAUGAUUUUUGCUUUGAGCCACUUAGUUUGGGACCAAUGUUUUUGUGGCAAGAGCUCUCUGGUUCAGCCAUGUAUCAACCCACAAGGCACGCACAGUGGGUGGCUUUCAACAGUGCCAUGUACUAGUCCCCAUGCCACAUGCUGCAAACAUGGACAUGAACAAAACUGUGUUCCCUAGCCAUUGGGAUUCCACAAAUUUGUGAU